Hordeum vulgare subsp. vulgare (domesticated barley) is the source of this 1064-nucleotide RNA transcript. RefSeq lists it as uncharacterized. NCBI's taxonomy places the organism in Eukaryota, Viridiplantae, Streptophyta, Magnoliopsida, Poales, Poaceae. The transcript has 6 exons. The record is from RefSeq and is a predicted model, not a curated record.
UGUCCCAUCCUAAUUAGUAAAUGGAGAAUUCUACUCAACCCAUAGGGAUUUUUGUGUUACUAUUUCUUUGUAAUGCAAUCAUAGUGGGAUGCAUUCCAUCUAUCGAAGAGGAAACUCAUAAUUGCUAUGGCCUUUUGACCUUCAUCCAACAUUCUUCUCGGCAAGCAAGAACACUAGCUACCUUGUAUCAAAAUUAAGAAUUUUCUUAUUCUUCUACUCAUUUCUGGCUAGGAGGAGGUCGUAUUGAUUAUUGUGGCGCACAUGCCUCACCAGAUGUAUAUGGCUUUAAUUUACAUCGUGGCCAAGAAACCGCAGCUCCCAUUUGGAUUGUAGAUAGGGCUUCACAAAACGGAAUUCAAGCUGGAUGGCAUGUUUCACCGGAGUUGUACAAUGAUUCUCAUACUCACUUCUACACGGCUUGGACGACUGGCACUGGCAAGAGUUGCACAAACAUGCUUUGCCCUGGCUUUCACAAAAUAUCAUCAAGCAUAGCUCCAGGGAUGAUCCUCGACAAAGUUUCAAGAAUACAUGGACCAAAAUGGUUUAUGACACUAAGAGUAUUCAAGGAGAAAUCUUCUGGUGAUUGGCAUGUCUACCUAUACAAAGAUAAUGGUAUUCAAGAACUAGUAGGUUACUUUCCAAAGUAUUUGGUUCCAGGACUCAUAAAUAAACAAGUUGAGAUAAGUUUUGGUGGCUAUGUGUAUCACAAGAAACCACAACCGAGUCCUCCAAUGGGUAGCGGUUAUGUUAUAGCCAGCAGGAAUGCGGCAUCAUUCAACAUCCUAAGGCUUAUCGAUGCUCAUGGUAAUGAUCAUGUAGUCAAUACUGAUCUGCCAUCUUAUAUUGACGGGAAGGGUUGUUACACUCCUUCACACAUUGACGCUUCAACUAUAUUCUUUUAUGGGGUUCCAUAACAAGGGUACAUCAGAAUGAAAGAGCUCGCCUAGGCAAAGCAGUGACCCAAGAUGAUUCUACUAGACGACCUCUUUUGCACGCAAGAACGUUCCUACUUCCUCAUGUGGAUUUUAUGCAAAAAGGAUUUCAGCACUGCUUGCACAACUUCA